Molecule: ribosomal RNA, 429 nt
Filed under: Actinomycetes bacterium
Lineage: Bacteria; Bacillati; Actinomycetota; Actinomycetes
Description: Actinobacteria bacterium partial 16S ribosomal RNA
Rfam family: Bacterial small subunit ribosomal RNA
Source: RNAcentral
UAGGGAAUCUUCCGCAAUGGGCGAAAGCUUGACGGAGCAACGCCGCGUGAGUGAUGAAGGUCUUCGGAUCGUAAAACUCUGUUAUUCGGGAAGAACAAACGUGUAAGUAACUAUGCACGUCUUGACGGUACCUAAUCAGAAAGCCACGGCUAACUACGUGCCAGCAGCCGCGGUCAUACGUAGGUGGCAAGCGUUAUCCGGAAUUAUUGGGCGUAAAGCGCGCGUAGGCGGUUUUUUAAGUCUGAUGUGAAAGCCCACGGCUCAACCGAGGAGGGUCAUUGGAUACUGGAAAACUUGAGUGCAGAAGAGGAAAGUGGAAUUCCAUGUGUAGCGGUGGAAUGCGCAGAGAUAGGGAGGAACACCAGUGGCGAAGUCGACUUUCUGGUCUGUAACUGACGCUGAUGUGCGAAAGCGGGGGGAUCAAACAGG